CCUGGCGGCACUAGCGCGGUGGUCCCACCUGAGCCCAUGCCGAACUCAGAAGUGAAACGCCGUAGCGCCGAUGGUAGUGUGGGGUCUCCCCAUGCGAGAGUAGGGAACUGCCAGGC
RNAcentral lists this ribosomal RNA (116 nucleotides) under Salmonella enterica subsp. enterica serovar Infantis. RNAcentral also lists the same sequence under 4 other names. The record is from RNAcentral. Lineage: Bacteria; Pseudomonadati; Pseudomonadota; Gammaproteobacteria; Enterobacterales; Enterobacteriaceae.